UCAAGCGAAUAAGAGCGCAGGGUGGAUGCCUUGGCACUAAGAGCCGAAGAAAGACGUGAUAAGCUGCGAUAAGCUACGGUGAGGAGCAAAUAUCCAUUGACCCGUAGAUUUCUGAAUGGGGAAACCCGGCAGGAGAAACUCCUGUCACUGUAUGGUGAAUACAUAGCCAUAUAGAGGGAACCCGGUGAACUGAAACAUCUAAGUAGCCGGAGGAAGAGAAAACAACAGUGAUUUCCUAAGUAGCGGCGAGCGAACGGGAAAGAGCCCAAACCGGAUUGCGUGCAAUCCGGGGUUCGGACUGCAAACGUCAUUGUAAGAGGAUAACAGAAUGGUUUUGGGAAAGCCAGCCAGAGAGGGUGAAAGCCCCGUACGUGAAAUCUGAUUACAGGCAGCAGGAUCCAGAGUACCACGAGACACGUGGAACCUUGUGGGAACAAGCGGGGACCACCCCGUAAGGCUAAAUACUCCUUAGUGACCGAUAGCGCAUAGUACUGUGAAGGAAAGGUGAAAAGAACCCCGGGAGGGGAGUGAAAGAGAACCUGAAACCCUGUGUUUACAAGCUGUGGAACCACCCUAUGAGUGGAACCGCGUACUUUUUGUAGAACGGUCCGGCGAGUUAUGGUUGCUGGCAAGGUUAAGGACGAAAAGUCCGGAGCCGAAGGGAAACCGAGUCUUAAUAGGGCGCCAAGUCAGCAGACAUAGACCCGAAACCGGGUGACCUACCCAUGUCCAGGUUGAAGCCGCUGUAAAAGGCGGUGGAGGACCGAACGCACAUCUGUUGAAAAAGGUGGCGAUGAGGUGUGGGUAGCGGAGAAAUUCCAAUCGAACUCGGAGAUAGCUGGUUCUCCCCGAAAUAGCUUUAGGGCUAGCCUUGAGUUAGACAUAUGGAGGUAGAGCACUGAAUGGCCGCGGGGGCGUCAAAGCUUACCAAAGCCUAUCAAACUCCGAAUGCCAUGUUGCCGAUGCUCAGGAGUCAGACUGCACGAGAUAAGUUGGGUAGUCGAGAGGGAAACAGCCCAGACCUACAGCUAAGGUCCCAAAGUACAUGUUAAGUGGAAAAGGAUGUGGGACUUCGAAGACAACUAGGAUGUUGGCUCAGAAGCAGCCAUACAUUCAAAGAGUGCGUAAUAGCUCACUAGUCGAGAGGUCCUGCGCCGAAAAUGUCCGGGGCUAAAACACGACACCGAAGCUUAGGAAUCGAGAGAUUGGUAGAGGAGCAUUGACAGCGCGCCGAAGCUGUACCGGAAGGCGCAGUGGAGUGCUGUGAAGAGAGAAUGCCGGAAUGAGUAGCGAGAGUAAGGUGAGAAUCCUUACGGCCGAAUAUCUAAGGUUUCCAGAGUAAAGCUGAUCUGCUCUGGGUAAGUCGGGACCUAAGGCGAGGACGAAAGUCGUAGUCGAUGGAUAACAGGUGGAGAUUCCUGUACUCCGUAUAAACAGAACUGUGGGGACACGGGUGGAAAGCCUGACCCGGGAAUGGAAAGACCGGGACAAGCGAGGUACCAGAUAAGGAGGCAAAUCCCCUUAUCAAUGGGAAGACGUGAUGUGGAGCGAACCAAAGGGUAGCGAAGCAGGUGAGCCAGCCGUCGAGAAAAGCCGCUAUUGUUUUGUACGGACCCGUACCGUAAACCGACACAGGUGGAUGAGGAGAGAAUCCUAAGGCCGACGGGAGAAGCAUUGUUAAGGAACUCGGCAAAAUGACCCCGUAACUUCGGGAGAAGGGGUGCCUGCGAGAGCAGGCCGCAGAGAAUAGGCUCAAGCAACUGUUUAGCAAAAACACAGGUCUAUGCGAAACCGAAAGGUGAAGUAUAUGGGCUGACGCCUGCCCGGUGCUGGAAGGUUAAGAGGAGGAGUCAGGCAACGAAGCUCCGAAUUUAAGCCCCAGUAAACGGCGGCCGUAACUAUAACGGUCCUAAGGUAGCGAAAUUCCUUGUCGGGUAAG
Molecule: ribosomal RNA, 1939 nt
Filed under: human metagenome
Description: bacterial LSU rRNA
Rfam family: Bacterial large subunit ribosomal RNA
Source: RNAcentral